This 70-nucleotide transfer RNA is filed under the name Ophichthus rotundus. RNAcentral's name for it is "tRNA-Arg". The record is from RNAcentral. Lineage: Eukaryota; Metazoa; Chordata; Actinopteri; Anguilliformes; Ophichthidae.
AGAUGAUUAGUCCACUGAAAGACCGCCGAUUUCGGCUUGGCAGAACAUGGUUCAAAUCCAUGAUCAUCUU